UGCGUAGGUGGUUUCUUAAGUCAGAGGUGAAAGGCUACGGCUCAACCGUAGUAAGCCUUUGAAACUGGGAAACUUGAGUGCAGGAGAGGAGAGUGGAAUUCCUAGUGUAGCGGUGAAAUGCGUAGAUAUUAGGAGGAACACCAGUGGCGAAGGCGGCUUACUGGACGAUAACUGACGCUGAGGCUCGAAAGCGUGGGGAGGCAAAACA
Molecule: ribosomal RNA, 208 nt
Filed under: uncultured bacterium
Lineage: Bacteria
Description: partial 16S ribosomal RNA
Rfam family: Bacterial small subunit ribosomal RNA
Source: RNAcentral